UACAGAGGUCUCAAGCGUUGUUCGGAUUCAUUGGGCGUAAAGGGUGCGUAGGUGGCGCCGUAAGUCGGGUGUGAAAUUUCGGAGCUUAACUCCGAAACUGCAUUCGAUACUGCGGUGCUUGAGGACUGGAGAGGAGACUGGAAUUCAUGGUGUAGCAGUGAAAUGCGUAGAGAUCAUGAGGAAGACCAGUGGCGAAGGCGGGUCUCUGGACAGUUCCUGACACUGAGGCACGAAGGCCAGGGGAGCGAAUGGG
Molecule: ribosomal RNA, 253 nt
Filed under: uncultured bacterium
Lineage: Bacteria
Description: partial 16S ribosomal RNA
Rfam family: Bacterial small subunit ribosomal RNA
Source: RNAcentral